CCACCUGAUCCCAUCCCGAACUCAGUAGUGAAACGAUGUAUCGCCGAUGGUAGUGUGGGGUUUCCCCAUGUGAGAGUAGGUCAUCGUCAAGA
This 92-nucleotide ribosomal RNA is filed under the name Pseudomonas syringae. The record is from RNAcentral. RNAcentral also lists the same sequence under 1 other name. Lineage: Bacteria; Pseudomonadati; Pseudomonadota; Gammaproteobacteria; Pseudomonadales; Pseudomonadaceae.